AUCCAGACUCCUACGGGAGGCAGCAGUGAGGAAUAUUGGUCAAUGGGCGGGAGCCUGAACCAGCCAAGUCGCGUGAGGGAAGACGGUCCUACGGAUUGUAAACCUCUUUUGCCGGGGAGCAACGGGGUCCUUGCGAGGGCCCAAUGAGAGUACCCGGAGAUGAAGCAUCGGCUAACUCCGUGCCAGCAGCCGCGGUAAUACGGAGGAUGCGAGCGUUAUCCGGAUUUAUUGGGUUUAAAGGGUGCGUAGGCGGGCUGUUAAGUCAGCGGUAAAAGGUCGGGGCUCAACCCCGGCCUGCCGUUGAAACUGGAGAUCUAGAGUGUGCGAGAGGUAUGCGGAAUGCGUGGUGUAGCGGUGAAAUGCAUAGAUAUCACGCAGAACCCCGAUUGCGAAGGCAGCAUACCGGUGCACAACUGACGCUCAGGCACGAAAGCGUGGGUAUCGAACAGGAUUAGAUACCCGAGUAC
This 467-nucleotide ribosomal RNA is filed under the name uncultured bacterium. RNAcentral describes it as "bacterial SSU rRNA". It matches the Rfam family "Bacterial small subunit ribosomal RNA", at positions 329 to 793 of the family's 1533-position model. The record is from RNAcentral.